CGCAAUGGGCGAAAGCCUGACGCAGCAACGCCGCGUGAGUGAUGAAGGCCUUCGGGUCGUAAAGCUCUGUCGGGAGGGAAGAAGUGGUUGAGGGUUAAUACCCCUUGGUCUUGACGGUACCUCCGAAGGAAGCACCGGCUAACUCCGUGCCAGCAGACGCGGUAAUACGGAGGGUGCAAGCGUUGUUCGGAAUUAUUGGGCGUAAAGAGCGUGUAUGUGGUUUCUUAAGUCUGAUGUGAAAGCCCCGGGCUCAACCUGGGAAGUGCAUUGGAAACUGGGAAACUUGGGUACGGGAGAGGGUAGUGGAAUUCCUAGUGUAGGAGUAAGUUCCGUAGAUAUUAGGAGGGACACCGGUGGCGAAGGCGGUUACCUGGACCGAUACUGACGCUGAGACGCGAAAGCGUGGG
This 407-nucleotide ribosomal RNA is filed under the name uncultured bacterium. Its description in RNAcentral is "bacterial SSU rRNA". It matches the Rfam family "Bacterial small subunit ribosomal RNA", at positions 367 to 765 of the family's 1533-position model. The record is from RNAcentral.